RNAcentral lists this long non-coding RNA (13524 nucleotides) under Zea mays. Its description in RNAcentral is "long non-coding RNA (ZMAY_LNC004552)". Lineage: Eukaryota; Viridiplantae; Streptophyta; Magnoliopsida; Poales; Poaceae. The record is from RNAcentral.
UAUUUCUUAAGAAAGAAAGAAGAAAUAUCCUAUUUUUCUAAUAGCCCUCGACCUUGGAAAACUCUUGAAGACACGCUCAACCUUAUGUCCUUGCCCAGUUUCUGGACGCAUGCGAGGGACCAAAUUCUUUUCUUCUACGCAUGCCAGAGACCAAAUUCUUUUCUUCUACGCGAGCAUAAGCCUCUUCUUUGUAUUGUCCCGCCGCCCUCCAUCAGGAUAUUUUCUCAGGCCCUUGUCUGUAUAUAACGCUCAUCGGCCUGAUCCAUUUUCUGAAAAAAAUCUCAUUCUCUUUCUUAUCCAUCCAUCGCUCAGCAGGAGCUUAUUUCUUACACGUCUCCAGCGUUCACUCAGGCGUCUUAGCAUUCUUUUCUCUGCUCCUCUCGGCACUCGUCUCAGCACUUCUUCCUCAGGCCGCAACCCUUCUCUGCCAUUUGUGCUUGGCUCCCAGAAGCUGCCGAGCUAGACUCCUCGUCGUGCGCUGUUGUGCUGCUCCAUGUCCGACCGUUCGUCUCUAGCUCGCCAUGGCUGCUCCAGAUCCUGCUCGCGAGUUUCCCAGCGCCGUCAGCUUGCCGGCAUCCAGCUCGCCUGUAUCAUGGCCGUCGCGCCGUCUUUACUCGUUGGCCGUGCGUUGCCGCGCACACGCGCCCGACACCCCGGUUCCUCUGUACGCCUUGGUUGCGCGCGCCGAACUGCGUCCUUCGCAGCUCGCUGGCUUUAGCUGCAGGACACCACCAGCCGUGCCUUCGUAUCCUGUGUCCUCGACUCGUCCACAGUGUCACUCGCGAGGUGCUCGAGGUAAUGGCAGAAUUGAAAAUCGUAGCUGUGCUCAUGGCCUUCAAGACAUAUUAAGUUAUUGGUGAGUUGUCGUCGCUCUCGCUUUUCGUUUUAAUAUUUCUCGUCAGUUUGGUAUACUUGUGCUAUUAACGUGGGCCGGUGACGUGCGCGUAAAUCGCAGUAGUGAAUUAGUCCCAGAAUAAAAUUUGAUCGGAUAGAAUAAUGAAGUCUAGUACGUUGCUCGUCACAUAUUUGGUGUUAUGCGCGGACCGGAAAGCGUCGUCGAUUUCGUGGUUUCAAGUCGGAAUUAAUGAGGGUAAGUUGAUUCAUUAUUCCAGUCAACUAGGUAUAUAAAUAGAUUAAAUAUAAUUGUUGGUCGCGAUAAUUGUUAUUAAUUUAGCAUAUGUAUAUUGUGAUGUUCGAUUUAGAUAAAUCGGUAAAUCAAGUUAAUUAAGAUACACAGUUUAAAGAGUUAAUUAGAUUGUUUCUAUAAUUAUUUUAAGUUGUUGGCAUUUAAUAAUAGCGAGUCUAGGUUUUACUAGACCUCUGUAAUAUAUUUUACUAAAAAUGAUAAUGUGUGUUUAUAAUUUAUUCUUGCUUGAUAAUAAAAUUAGAUGUGAUUGAACAGAAGAAAUGUGCGUGAUGUAAUUAGUAUGUAUAGUUUAUUAUUUUGUGAUUAUUGCGCGUAGUCGUAUGUCGAUAACUAGUGUGUCCGUAUAAAAUUGUACAAUGCCUCGCCGCUAGGUGUUUAGUUCGCUAUCGCGUAGCACUAUUUAGGGUUUUUGAUAUUCCUGUUUAUAUGCAUUCAUGUGCAUCGUGCAUCUCAAUUAGGUACGAUAAUUGAUCGUGUGAUGCGGAAGACGAGCCAAGUCGACCCCAAGCGCGGACUACUCCGCAUGGAGAUGCUGAUAAACGAACCUACCUGAUCAAGUGCUAGGACAAGGAUGAUCGUCAAGUGGACGUCACCUAACAACACUAACGUAGUGUUUAUUCCAGGCAAGCCCCGGUGCAUGCAACCCCUUCCUUGUGUUUUUAAAUAAUUUUUGCACACUUUAAGUCUAGUGAAAUGUGCAUUAGGUUUAUAGGAGUUGCUUGGAAACCCUUUGAUGCAUUGCCUUCCUUGAAAUCCAUACCUUUAUAGAUACUUCUGGUGAAGUAUCAAAAUAUGAUUUACAAAAAUGCUUAGCCCUGCUCAGAUCUUGUGGAUAGAGGUUGUCUUUUGCGUUAAGGCCUUGCUCAGGGGUUAUCCUGAGGAAAGAUGGCUUCUACCUGCAAAAAUAUUUUCAUUGAGACCGUGGUGGGAUCUUACUGCAAAGUUCCCUAUAAUGCUCUUUUCAUCCUAGGGAGCACAAACACUCCUAAGGAUGGAAGUACUUAAAUCGGGACUUGGGCUAGGAACAGGUGAUGCUCCGCCCGGGUCAAUUAAGGAUUGGAUGUGUAUGUAGGCCUGAUAGAUCAAGGACUAUCUUAACUGGCCACAUGCCCUGAAAAUGGGACAGGGUAAGCUUGAACCCGGCUAUUCCAUACGUGAAAAGACAACCGCGCACUGGGCGUGGGAGAUGGUGGGAGUAGCGUGUGCCCUCCUGGCUAGAGGCUGGAUGGAGGAGUACUGUGCUCCCGGGUAGCGCGGACCGGUUCACGUUGUGGAGGAUCUGUGGGAACGGUUGACAUAUGCAAGGGUUAAGUGCUACAUAUGUCGUGUGGUUAGAGAUCCUCAGCUGAGUAAAUCGAUUCGGAUCGCCGUUAUAUCCCCGAAGAGUGGAGACUUGAUCACUGACCUGCAACCUAAGUCAGGAUGUGAACCUCAUGAAUAAAAAUGAUGUUGUAUUGAUGAGAUGGUGAAAUUAGACCAGAUGCAAAUAGAGUCUAUUAAUAUUUAAUCUGGCAUUAAAAUAUUGAAAGUAAGAACUCACUUUAGUAAGCUAUUUCUGCAAAAGUAUCUAAGUUGAUUCUUGCUAAAGCCUCUCCUUGAUUCCUAAAUCCAGCAUACCCUUGAGAGUCUUUUCUUUAGUCGGGUAAGUCUUGCUGAGUAAUUCCAUACUCAGGGUUUUAUUCCCUGUUGUUUUUCAGGUUCUAACUUUGUGCUGCUUUUGAUGGUGUUAAGUGUAGGGAUGGCAACGGGUUUGAAACCCGCGGGUAUAUGGUUUUCAAACCCGCCUCCGCGGGUUUAAUAUUAAACCCGCACCCGUACCCGUUACCCGCGGCGGGUACAAUAUGCUACCCAUACCCGCGACCCGCGGGUGCCACAAACCCGCGGGCACAUAAUUAUACACAUAUAUUUAUACAUAUAUCAUCUAUAUAUACAUAUAUUUAUACACACAUAUAACUAUACAUAUACAAAUAUGUAUAUAUAUAAUAUACACACAUAUAAAAAUUACAUAUAUACACACAUAUAUAUAUACAUACACACACACACACACACACACACACACACACACACACAUAUAUAUAUAUAUAUAUAUAUAUAUAUAUAUAUAUAUAUAUAUAUAUAUCCAUUGCGGGUACGCGGGUUUGCGGGCACGGGUAUAACAUUUUCAUACCCGCGAGAAAAAACCCGUCGGGUUAAGAAUCAAACCCGCACCCGUACCCACGGGUACAAACUCACACCCAAACCCGCACCCUAUAGGGUUUUUACCCGCGGGCACGCGGGUAAAAUGUGCCCGUUGCCAUCCCUAGUUAAGUGCCGGUGGGCUCGGCCUUCUUAUAUAAGUAUAACCCGUCUUUAUCUUCUUACUGAGGAUGGUCAUUUGAGCUAGCAUAUAUUUCAAACUUAUACUUUUGUAAUCACUCCGAUAAAAUAAUAUAAAAUUUUUGUAACUUGUAAAAUUUGGUAAUAAGAUUUCCGCUGCAAAAAUAUUGGUGUGUGUGAUUUGUGUUACUUAAUCUCGCGGUUCUGGUUGUAAGUGGUUUAUCCGGUGUCCUUGGGGCAAUCGGACGGAUCCUGUUAAGUUAUCUGGUGCACAUGCACGGCCGUCUGAGGUCUUUGAGACAAGGACAGGUGCAUGUGGGCCCGAUAACUUGGAGGUUCUGCCACAGCUGGUAUCGGAGCUGGAUUAAGUAUGUACGAUCACAUACGUAUUUUCAAAACAAAAGUUUUGGUUUUAGAACACCUAUCUUCAACUAAACACAUUGUUUGGUUUUGAAAAUCAGAUUUGAAAAACUAUAAUGCUAGCGACAUCCUCUCUUAAGCCCUAAAUUAAGGACUAUCAGGUGGCUUAGUUGAAAACCACAACCGGGUGGGUAUUGCAUACAUGUGUAUUGUUAUUUUUAAGGCCAUUCAGUUUUGAAUGGAUCGAUGCUCAGGUAAGGUGAGAUGUGAGAGCAUGACCGAACAAACGUCGGUCUAGGGAAGAGCAUAAAAAGCGCUUGAUUAUAUACAUGUUCCACAUAUGUAUAUAUGAAGGCUGCGAUGUGGAGUAUUUACUUUUCUGGGAAUUCUGUACCCCAUGGAUGUGUAUGGGUAUACAGACAUGGGAAUACUGAGAAAUGUAAUGUACUUGUAACGACGCACCUACGCUCAGGUAAGAAGGUGAGUUACCAUAAUGAGUUGCCCUAUGGUUAAAGUGUGGCAACAGCGCCUAUGCGUGGCUCGGCGCUUAAUGAUGAGCUGGCCUCCAUAUAGCAAUAUAUGGAGUAUAAACUGUGAUAAACUGUCAUGUGUGAAUUGCAUCAUGGGGAAUUGGGCUGUGAUGAAUUUUCUGCAGGUAUACUAACCUCGAAAACGUAUGUGUAGCUGACGACUAGCAAAAUACCGUGAGAGUCGUAAAUAUGCCACCGAGAUAGAACGCUAAUGCCACAUUAUGUUGGCAAAACUCGUGAGGACGUGUAGGACGAGCAUGCAUCCUGAUUGUUGCAUCAUGUUUGUCACCUAUACACCCAAGAUGCUUCUCUCAUCCUUAUUCCAGUAACCAGUGAUUGUAGAUAAUGUGGUGUAAUGUUGUAUUAUGAACUUCGAUAAAAUAGUUGUUCUCCGUUCCUUAGGUAUUAUGUUUAGAUGCUAUAUGUGUUUGCCCUUGUGCUUGAUGUGUCGAUAGAAGGUUAGUGACUUGUUUUGCCUAAACCCAAAAUUAGGCCAUGUUCUUAUUAGGUAAACUGAGACCCAAAUUUGAAUUUACCAUUAUCCCUCUACGACUAAACUCAUGUAAAUGAAUGUUUAGAUAAUUUCUUUGUUGGACAUAAAAUGUACCCAACCUUAAAUCAAGGAUCUCAAACCAUGUCUCCUUCUAGAACCAUUUCCUUGUUCAGUUGAUGCAAGUUGAGGUCUCUAUGGUAUUUGGCCUCUCCUUGUGGAUUACCAUGUUACUUUAUCGACCCAACCUAGGAAAGACAUGUCCAACCAUUUUUCUGGAAUUUGAUGUCUUUGGUUUCCCCCAUAUCUAUCGAAGGCAUUCCAACUUAAUCUUAAUAUUGUUUUCCCCUGUAUCUAGUCAGAUACUGAUCCUUGACCUUGUGAUCUCUACGAUGGGCAUAGAAAUAUGCUUGGGGCUGAAGCAACAGUCUCCCGUCGUACUCCUUUCAUCAAAUUUAGGUUAUGGCCAUGCCUUGUUCAUUUCAUCGGGCCAUGAUCUAUUUGGCUCUCUACUUGUAACCAUUCUUACAAGUGGAGUCUAUUUUUGUAUAUUGCCAUCCUUGCUCAGUCUAUUUGUGUCGCGCGAGAUUUCUUAUUGGUUACGUCUGGUAAUGGCGUUAUGACUAAAACCAAUGGUGCCGUGACGAAACCGAGGGCCUCCUAUGGAUGCACACACAUGGUUGCGCUACUUGGCAUCCGCUGGUAUCACCGUUAGUAGUCAUAAUCCAUUAUUAGACUAUAUCGAUAUGUUAUCUUUACGUAGAUUAUUCUUACCCUGCGAGAUUCAUUAUUAGUGCCAGUUCGAUAAUGGCGUCUCGAUUAAUGACUUAUGAUACCCCGGCGAAACUAAGAGCCUCCUGUGAAUGUGCACACAGGAUUCUGCUGCUUGGCGCAUGCUGGUAUCGGAGCCUCUAGUCAUGAUCCAUUGUGGAACUACACCGAUGUGUGGUCUUCCGUGGACUCCUUCUUUGAAACAGUUUCUAUGUUGUUUCUCAAGUUAUCAAGCAACAUCUAUCAUCUUUGCCGGAUCAAAUGGACAUACCACUUUCAUGUGUGGUCUUAUUUCUUUUGAUCUUGGUAGUGACUACUCAUACAAGUUCCCUUUACAUCCUUUGUGUAAAGAUGAAGCCUUAGAGCGUUUAGUGUCGAGAGACAGCUGAUUAGCUCCCAAAAUGGAGAUUGGCUUUUUCCCCUGCUGUGGAGAUGCAGGAGUUUGUUCAUUCACUCUCUUAUUCAAUCCAUUUAUUCCCAAACCAAGUCAGUGGAUAAUUCAUCUCGCAUGAAGAAACAGAUGAACAACCUGACCAAAUGAAUUUCCACCCAAGUGCAUGAUCUCCUGUUAGCCAAAGUAAACUCUCGAUCGUUGGCUUACCGAUGGUACUGAGAGGACCGACUCAAUGUCAAAAGUAGUUCAACAAGUUGGUUUUUACUAACUUGUAACUGCAUUGUGAAUAAAGUUUGAGUUUAGAGAUUGUUUUAUCGAGUUAUCUAAACUCACUUUAGUUCAACCCAUCCUAAGAAAGUACUUACGAAAAUCGAGAUUAGGUCAACUAAUAACCACCUAGCCAUUGCUCUAGUCAUGUCUCGAUCGCCUCACGUGUGCUUUUCCAGCAUGUGUGACCAUAUCAAGCCAUGAUUAGUGCUCGAUAAAAUGGAUUUGUUACAAAAACAACAUUUACAGAUCCCUCCGUUGGUGAUGUUCUCGAAUCUAUAUCACCUUUCAGGGACUUGGAUUUUCUGGCUAGCCACGGGUCAACUGUGAUGUUAUUCGACAUUCACACCCAUCUCGUGUGCUAUGAACUUACCGUGACCACUUGUUGGUAAACCUCUUUCUGUAUGUUUUACCCAAGAGGUUGCAUCUGAUUCUGUUUUGGUAAAAUCGCGUAAUUGCCGCUCGCUCAAUAGACUCAGAUAGUGCAAUGUCAUCAGAAAAAGCAAACUGCACACAUGGAACCUUAUGUGUUCCUCUGGCAGACAUUGUCUCUAUUGUUGGACAUCUCUAAAUUAGCCUAAGGCGAUACAUGUUAUGUCCACUAGAGAAACAACAUCCUGAGACACUCGCCUUUAUUUGGAAAUGUCUCAUGAUUAUCGCUGAUAUGGACAUGGGUUACAUGCUUCUCUACUCUUAGAAGUCUUUCGUUUCAAAUCUCGGGACGAGAUUCUUUUAAGGGGGGAGGGGUGUAACACCCUUGGUGUUUAUAUUCCGCUCGACAACGAGUAUGGAUUUAAGCACGUAAUAUCAGUGGAUAAAACAAAUGUUAAAUUUUAAUUAUUCUCUCUAUCGCGAUUUUAUAUCGCAUCUAUUUCGUCUGUCGCGAGUGCGACAUCGUUUUUUUUAUUUUUAUCUAUCCGGGCUCGUCCUAAAUUUUCGUGCUGUUCGGAACAUAGUUGUUCCAAAAAUCGGUGCGUCCGGUGAUUAUUUAAAAUUCAUCGCUCGCGUGAAUACGAAUUCGGAAGUCCGAUCCACUCGGAUGAUUUUACCUCGAACAGAUUAAGUAGAACUCGACGACUAAGUUUUCGAUGCAAAUAAUUAUGUCCCCACUCGUCAACUGAGAAGUCGCGUCCAAGGAAUUAUAAUUGAGAUCCGAUUCUCCGCGUAAAUUAUCUGUGGCCGUGGAAACGGGUGUCGAGACCACGGAUAAAAGUUUCCGGUUUUGAAUUAAAUCCAAUCUAGCGCAGUCUAAGAUAUCAAAGAUAAUGACGUGGUCUGGUACUAGUUUAAAUAAAGUUAAUCGAUUUAGACGAACUGGAAAGGUCAACUAAGUAUUUCGCUCUGUUCGAGCGAUCCCUACGAAUUUGGUAGAAACACUACUAGGGGCGGGCUAUUUAAAUAAACCAAACUCGAACUAACCAAAACCAGAACAAUGGUUAGCCGAUUCGCUUUCCUAUUUAAAAAUCCGAGAAAAUAAUCUAUUAUUCGAUAGCGCUUUAAAUUGGCGAUAGCGCUUUAAAUUGGCCCGUUUACUCCUUAUUUUAAAUCCAAAUCCCAAUAUUCAGAACAGAUGAGGUUUAUCUGUUUUAAACCAAAUUUGACAUAGUUUGAAUUAUCCAAGCCGAUCUUGUUUGGUUGGGUUCGUGUGUUCCUCGCCUAUAUCCAAAUCUUCAGAUAUAAAUAACAGAUAACUUUUAUCUGGGUUCAACUAAAUUAAUGGUGUCUCAAGUAGUAUAUUUGUUUUAGUCCGGUUCAUUUAUAUCUCACCCAAACUCUAAUUCUAGCACCAGUAUUUCUUAAGAAAGAAAGAAGAAAUAUCCUAUUUUUCUAAUAGCCCUCGACCUUGGAAAACUCUUGAAGACACGCUCAACCUUAUGUCCUUGCCCAGUUUCUGGACGCAUGCGAGGGACCAAAUUCUUUUCUUCUACGCAUGCCAGAGACCAAAUUCUUUUCUUCUACGCGAGCAUAAGCCUCUUCUUUGUAUUGUCCCGCCGCCCUCCAUCAGGAUAUUUUCUCAGGCCCUUGUCUGUAUAUAACGCUCAUCGGCCUGAUCCAUUUUCUGAAAAAAAUCUCAUUCUCUUUCUUAUCCAUCCAUCGCUCAGCAGGAGCUUAUUUCUUACACGUCUCCAGCGUUCACUCAGGCGUCUUAGCAUUCUUUUCUCUGCUCCUCUCGGCACUCGUCUCAGCACUUCUUCCUCAGGCCGCAACCCUUCUCUGCCAUUUGUGCUUGGCUCCCAGAAGCUGCCGAGCUAGACUCCUCGUCGUGCGCUGUUGUGCUGCUCCAUGUCCGACCGUUCGUCUCUAGCUCGCCAUGGCUGCUCCAGAUCCUGCUCGCGAGUUUCCCAGCGCCGUCAGCUUGCCGGCAUCCAGCUCGCCUGUAUCAUGGCCGUCGCGCCGUCUUUACUCGUUGGCCGUGCGUUGCCGCGCACACGCGCCCGACACCCCGGUUCCUCUGUACGCCUUGGUUGCGCGCGCCGAACUGCGUCCUUCGCAGCUCGCUGGCUUUAGCUGCAGGACACCACCAGCCGUGCCUUCGUAUCCUGUGUCCUCGACUCGUCCACAGUGUCACUCGCGAGGUGCUCGAGGUAAUGGCAGAAUUGAAAAUCGUAGCUGUGCUCAUGGCCUUCAAGACAUAUUAAGUUAUUGGUGAGUUGUCGUCGCUCUCGCUUUUCGUUUUAAUAUUUCUCGUCAGUUUGGUAUACUUGCGCUAUUAACGUGGGCCGGUGACGUGCGCGUAAAUCGCAGUAGUGAAUUAGUCCCAGAAUAAAAUUUGAUCGGAUAGAAUAAUGAAGUCUAGUACGUUGCUCGUCACAUAUUUGGUGUUAUGCGCGGACCGGAAAGCGUCGUCGAUUUCGUGGUUUCAAGUCGGAAUUAAUGAGGGUAAGUUGAUUCAUUAUUCCAGUCAACUAGGUAUAUAAAUAGAUUAAAUAUAAUUGUUGGUCGCGAUAAUUGUUAUUAAUUUAGCAUAUGUAUAUUGUGAUGUUCGAUUUAGAUAAAUCGGUAAAUCAAGUUAAUUAAGAUACACAGUUUAAAGAGUUAAUUAGAUUGUUUCUAUAAUUAUUUUAAGUUGUUGGCAUUUAAUAAUAGCGAGUCUAGGUUUUACUAGACCUCUGAAAUAUAUUUUACUAAAAAUGAUAAUGUGUGUUUAUAAUUUAAUCUUGCUUGAUAAUAAAAUUAGAUGUGAUUGAACAGAAGAAAUGUGCGUGAUGUAAUUAGUAUGUAUAGUUUAUUAUUUUGUGAUUAUUGCGCGUAGUCGUAUGUCGAUAACUAGUGUGUCCGUAUAAAAUUGUACAAUGCCUCGCCGCUAGGUGUUUAGUUCGCUAUCGCGUAGCACUAUUUAGGGUUUUUGAUAUUCCUGUUUAUAUGCAUUCAUGUGCAUCGUGUAUCUCAAUUAGGUACGAUAAUUGAUCGUGUGAUGCGGAAGACGAGCCAAGUCGACCCCAAGCGCGGACUACUCCGCAUGGAGAUGCUGAUAAACGAACCUACCUGAUCAAGUGCUAGGACAAGGAUGAUCGUCAAGUGGACGUCACCUAACAACACUAACGUAGUGUUUAUUCCAGGCAAGCCCCGGUGCAUGCAACCCCUUCCUUGUGUUUUUAAAUAAUUUUUGCACACUUUAAGUCUAGUGAAAUGUGCAUUAGGUUUAUAGGAGUUGCUUGGAAACCCUUUGAUGCAUUGCCUUCCUUGAAAUCCAUACCUUUAUAGAUACUUCUGGUGAAGUAUCAAAAUAUGAUUUACAAAAAUGCUUAGCCCUGCUCAGAUCUUGUGGAUAGAGGUUGUCUUUUGCGUUAAGGCCUUGCUCAGGGGUUAUCCUGAGGAAAGAUGGCUUCUACCUGCAAGAAUAUUUUCAUUGAGACCGUGGUGGGAUCUUACUGCAAAGUUCCCUAUAAUGCUCUUUUCAUCCUAGGGAGCACAAACACUCCUAAGGAUGGAAGUACUUAAAUCGGGACUUGGGCUAGGAACAGGUGAUGCUCCGCCCGGGUCAAUUAAGGAUUGGAUGUGUAUGUAGGCCUGAUAGAUCAAGGACUAUCUUAACUGGCCACAUGCCCUGGAAAUGGGACAGGGUAAGCUUGAACCCGGCUAUUCCAUACGUGAAAAGACAACCGCGCACUGGGCGUGGGAGAUGGUGGGAGUAGCGUGUGCCCUCCUGGCUAGAGGCUGGAUGGAGGAGUACUGUGCUCCCGGGUAGCGCGGACCGGUUCACGUUGUGGAGGAUCUGUGGGAACGGUUGACAUAUGCAAGGGUUAAGUGCUACAUAUGUCGUGUGGUUAGAGAUCCUCAGCUGAGUAAAUCGAUUCGGAUCGCCGUUAUAUCCCCGAAGAGUGGAGACUUGAUCACUGACCUGCAACCUAAGUCAGGAUGUGAACCUCAUGAAUAAAAAUGAUGUUGUAUUGAUGAGAUGAUGAAAUUAGACCAGAUGCAAAUAGAGUCUAUUAAUAUUUAAUCUGGCAUUAAAAUAUUGAAAGUAAGAACUCACUUUAGUAAGCUAUUUCUGCAAAAGUAUCUAAGUUGAUUCUUGCUAAAGCCUCUCCUUGAUUCCUAAAUCCAGCAUACCCUUGAGAGUCUUUUCUUUAGUCGGGUAAGUCUUGCUGAGUAAUUCCAUACUCAGGGUUUUAUUCCCUGUUGUUUUUCAGGUUCUAACUUUGUGCUGCUUUUGAUGGUGUUAAGUGCCGGUGGGCUCGACCUUCUUAUAUAAGUAUAACCCGUCUUUAUCUUCUUACUGAUGAUGGUCAUUUGAGCUAGCAUAUAUUUCAAACUUAUACUUUUGUAAUCACUCCGAUAAAAUAAUAUAAAAUUUUUGUAACUUGUAAAAUUUGGUAAUAAGAUUUCCGCUGCAAAAAUAUUGGUGUGUGUGAUUUGUGUUACUUAAUCUCGCGGUUCUGGUUGUAAGUGGUUUAUCCGGUGUCCUUGGGGCAAUCGGACGGAUCCUGUUAAGUUAUCUGGUGCACAUGCACGACCGUCUGAGGUCUUUGAGACAAGGACAGGUGCAUGUGGGCCCGAUAACUUGGAGGUUCUGCCACAUCGGUGAAGACAAAGGCUUCCACUCCGUAACUCAUCCUUCGCUGUCGCUCCGAGCAACUCUUCAUCUUUGGUAUAAUCUUCACUCACAUGUUAUUUACCAAAGGGUGCAAAAGUAGUUUAAAAAGGGCUCUAAUGAUUUCGUUUUUGGCGAUUUAUGCCAAAGGGGGAGAGAGCAUGAGCCCAAAGCAAAAGGACCGCACCACCACCAAUUUCAAAAAUUUUAGUCUUUCAAUUUGGUUUUAAAGAAGUAUUUUCAAAUUGGUAUUUUAUGUGUUAUAUAAUUUCAAAUUGGUAUACCCUCUUCAAAAUUAACAUCAAAACCCUCUUGAACACUAAGAGGAGGAUUUCAUUAAGGGGGAGUUUUGUUUAGUCAAAGUAAAAGCAUUUGAAACAGGGGGAGAAAAUUUCAAAUCUUGAAAAUGCUUCGCAAAAUCUUAUUCAUUUACCUUUGACUAUUUGCAAAAGGACCUUGAAAAGGAUUUACAAAAGAAUUUGCAAAAACAAAACAAGUGGUGCAAGCGUGGUCCAAAAUGUUAAAACUAAAGAAACAAUCCAUGUGUAUCUUAUAAGUAUUUAUAUUGGCUCAAUUCUAAGUAACCUUUGCACUUACAUUAUGCAAACUAGUUCAAUUAUGUGCUUCUAUACUUGCUUUGGUUUGUGUUGGCAUCAAUCACCAAAAAGGGGGAGAUUGAAAGGGAAUUAGGCUUACACCUAUUUUCCUAAUUGAUUUUGGUGGUUGAAUUGCCCAACACAAAUAAUUGGACUAACUAGUUUACUCUAGUCUAUAAGUUAUACAGGUGCCAAAGGUUCACAAAAAGCCAAUAAAAAGACAAAGAAAAGGGUUCAACAAAAAGAGCAAGGGACAACCGAAGUGUGCCCUGGUCUGGCGCACCGGACUGUCCGGUGUGCCACCGGAUAGUGUCCGGUGCACCAGGGAACUCCAAGCCCAACUCAACACCUUCGGGAAUUCUCAGAGGCGCUCCGCUAUAAUUCACCGGACUAUCCGGUGCACCACCGGACAGUGUCCGGUGCUCCAAGGAAGAGCGACUCUGAAGUCACCAGCUUCGGGAAUCCGCUCCGCUAUAAUUCACCAGACAUGUCUGGUGCACACCGGACUGUCCGGUGAGCCAGCGGUGCAACGGCUACUUCGCGCGCAACGGUCGACUGCAACGCAUUAAAUGCGUGCCUGCGCGCGCAGAGGACAGAGCACACGCGAGUGGCACACCGGACAGUCUACAGGACUUGUCCGGUGCGCCACCGGACAGCCAUGUGGGCCCAUAAGACAGAGCUCCAACGGUCGAAACCCAACGACCUGGUGACGUGGCUGGCGCACCGGACAGUGUCCGGUGGCGCACCGGACUGUCCGGUGCGCCAUGCGACAGCAGCCUCCACCAAACGGCUAGUUUGGUGGUUGGGGUUAUAAAUACCCCCAACCACCCCACAUUCAAGUCAUCCAAGUUUUCCACCUUCCAACUACUUACAAGAGCUCUUGCAUUCAAUUCUAGACACACCCAAGUGAUCAAAUCCUCUCCCAAUUCGACAAAAGCUUUAGUGUUAAGUGAGAGAGAUUUGUUGUGUUCUUUUGAGCUCUUGCGCUUGGAUUGCUUCUUUCUUUCACUCUUUCUUGCGAACAACUCAAUUGUAACCGAGGCAAGAGACACCAAUUGUGUGGUGGUCCUUGCGGGGAAGUUCGUUCCCGUUUGAUUGAGAAGAAGAAGCUCACUCGGUCCGAGGGACCGUUUGCGAGAGGGAAAGGGUUGAAAGAGACCCGGUCUCUGUGACCACCUCAACGGGGAGUAGGUUUGCGAGAACCGAACCUCGGUAAAACAAAUCCGCGUGUCACACUCUCUAUUCGCUUGCGAUUUGUUUUGCACCCUCUCUCUCGGACUCGAUUAUAUUUCUAACGCUAACCCGGCUUGUAGUUGUGAUUAAGUUUGUAAAUUUCAGAUUCGCCCUAUUCACCCCCCCCUCUAGGCGACUUUCACACACGCUGUCAGUUUGCUACUGGUCACCCCAACCGUUGCGCCCGUCUUUGCGGUAAACUGGUGUGUGGCCCCCCACGCAUGGCGGUUCGGUCGUGCCCCGCGCGCGUGGGGCGCCCUGUUGGCACCGCCCAUGUUGAGAAUACUUUUCAGCAGCGGCCCCAAGGCGGCAUGGGAGCGCACGGCGGUUUGUUCUUCCUGCGCAUGGAGACCAGCGCCCCAGCCAUGUGACUUGCAGGCUCGGG